AGCGAACGCUGGCGGCAGGCCUAACACAUGCAAGUCGAACGCCCCGCAAGGGGAGUGGCAGACGGGUGAGUAACGCGUGGGAACGUACCCUUCGGUUCGGAAUAACUCAGGGAAACUUGGGCUAAUACCGGAUACGUCCGUGAGGAGAAAGAUUCAUCGCCGAAGGAUCGGCCCGCGUAAGAUUAGCUAGUUGGUGAGGUAACGGCUCACCAAGGCUAUGAUCUUUAGCUGGUCUGAGAGGACGAUCAGCCACACUGGGACUGAGACACGGCCCAGACUCCUACGGGAGGCAGCAGUGGGGAAUAUUGGACAAUGGGCGUAAGCCUGAUCCAGCCAUGCCGCGUGAGUGAUGAAGGCCUUAGGGUUGUAAAGCUCUUUCGGCGGGGACGAUAAUGACGGUACCCGCAGAAGAAGCCCCGGCUAACUUCGUGCCAGCCGCCGCCGUAA
RNAcentral lists this ribosomal RNA (447 nucleotides) under uncultured bacterium. RNAcentral's name for it is "partial 16S ribosomal RNA". It matches the Rfam family "Bacterial small subunit ribosomal RNA", at positions 29 to 523 of the family's 1533-position model. The record is from RNAcentral.